Molecule: ribosomal RNA, 796 nt
Filed under: Salmonella enterica
Lineage: Bacteria; Pseudomonadati; Pseudomonadota; Gammaproteobacteria; Enterobacterales; Enterobacteriaceae
Description: bacterial SSU rRNA
Rfam family: Bacterial small subunit ribosomal RNA
Source: RNAcentral
AAAUUGAAGAGUUUGAUCAUGGCUCAGAUUGAACGCUGGCGGCAGGCCUAACACAUGCAAGUCGAACGGUAACAGGAAGCAGCUUGCUGCUUUGCUGACGAGUGGCGGACGGGUGAGUAAUGUCUGGGAAACUGCCUGAUGGAGGGGGAUAACUACUGGAAACGGUGGCUAAUACCGCAUAACGUCGCAAGACCAAAGAGGGGGACCUUCGGGCCUCUUGCCAUCAGAUGUGCCCAGAUGGGAUUAGCUAGUUGGUGAGGUAACGGCUCACCAAGGCGACGAUCCCUAGCUGGUCUGAGAGGAUGACCAGCCACACUGGAACUGAGACACGGUCCAGACUCCUACGGGAGGCAGCAGUGGGGAAUAUUGCACAAUGGGCGCAAGCCUGAUGCAGCCAUGCCGCGUGUAUGAAGAAGGCCUUAGGGUUGUAAAGUACUUUCAGCGGGGAGGAAGGUGUUGCGGUUAAUAACCGCAGCAAUUGACGUUACCCGCAGAAGAAGCACCGGCUAACUCCGUGCCAGCAGCCGCGGUAAUACGGAGGGUGCAAGCGUUAAUCGGAAUUACUGGGCGUAAAGCGCACGCAGGCGGUCUGUCAAGUCGGAUGUGAAAUCCCCGGGCUCAACCUGGGAACUGCAUUCGAAACUGGCAGGCUUGAGUCUUGUAGAGGGGGGUAGAAUUCCAGGUGUAGCGGUGAAAUGCGUAGAGAUCUGGAGGAAUACCGGUGGCGAAGGCGGCCCCCUGGACAAAGACUGACGCUCAGGUGCGAAAGCGUGGGGAGCAAACAGGAUUAGAUACC